GCCUUUAUAGCUCAAAGGUAGAGCGAAAUACUGUUAAUAUUUUGGUUGAAUGUUCGAGUCAUUCUAGAGGCU
This 72-nucleotide transfer RNA is filed under the name Venturia inaequalis. It matches the Rfam family "tRNA". Rfam says of the family: Transfer RNA (tRNA) molecules are approximately 80 nucleotides in length. Their secondary structure includes four short double-helical elements and three loops (D, anti-codon, and T loops). Lineage: Eukaryota; Fungi; Ascomycota; Dothideomycetes; Venturiales; Venturiaceae. The record is from Rfam by way of RNAcentral. RNAcentral also lists the same sequence under 1 other name.